Molecule: transfer RNA, 69 nt
Filed under: Sudis atrox (fierce pike smelt)
Lineage: Eukaryota; Metazoa; Chordata; Actinopteri; Aulopiformes; Paralepididae
Description: tRNA-His
Rfam family: tRNA
About the family: Transfer RNA (tRNA) molecules are approximately 80 nucleotides in length. Their secondary structure includes four short double-helical elements and three loops (D, anti-codon, and T loops). Further hydrogen bonds mediate the characteristic L-shaped molecular structure. tRNAs have two regions of fundamental functional importance: the anti-codon, which is responsible for specific mRNA codon recognition, and the 3' end, to which the tRNAs corresponding amino acid is attached (by aminoacyl-tRNA synthetases). tRNAs cope with the degeneracy of the genetic code in two manners: having more than one tRNA (with a specific anti-codon) for a particular amino acid; and 'wobble' base-pairing, i.e. permitting non-standard base-pairing at the 3rd anti-codon position.
Source: RNAcentral
GUAAACAUAGUUUAACAAAAACAUUAGAUUGUGAUUCUAAAGAUAGAGGUUAAAAUCCUCCUGUUCACC